GACUGACCUUCACGCAGCUGCACAAUGCUGCAUUUGGAAGCUGGACCUGACCACAUUCAUUUCCCUCUAGAUUCAUGUUCUGGAGAAAUGAAAAUGCUGUCUCAGUGGAAUGUUGAUUAGCUGGAGUGGAGACCCAAGAUCUCUGUCCAGGCAGUGCCAUCAGCUAGAGGUGGCCCUGUGAUUGAUGAGUGACCAGCCAUGUGUGGAGAAAAGCAAUGUGAACAACUUCUGACUUCGCGGUUAAAGAAAAUUGGUCUGUCCCCCAUUUCCUUGCAUUCCCAUCCUUACUGGCUGAAAUUCAAAGCUGAUAAAUGGAGCUAGAGCAGAUAUCUGGGAAAAUGAGUUGAGGGUCUUACAUUAAGACUUGCCAGCAAGAAGAAGAAUUUUUCCAGGGUUCCUGACACCACCAAAUUGUUUGAUCAGCUCUGAACUCUCUACUGAGAUUCUUUAAGUAUGAGAGACAUGAACUUUGACUGGCUUAAGGUGAGCUAUUGAGGUCUGUUUGCUAUUGUGACCUAACUCAGGGGUCAGCAAAUAACACUCUCUGCACAAAAUCUGACCUACGAUCUGUUUUCGUAACUAAAUAAAAUUUCACUGAAACACA
RNAcentral lists this long non-coding RNA (604 nucleotides) under Pongo abelii (Sumatran orangutan). RNAcentral's name for it is "lincRNA". The record is from RNAcentral. Lineage: Eukaryota; Metazoa; Chordata; Mammalia; Primates; Hominidae.